GAGUGGCCGCGACACGUGGUAGUGGCCGGUUCCUCAAGGCUGGGCUCACUCUAAGGAUUUUCUCUGCUCACUCGGCGGUGCUUCUCCCUAGGGAGCUCUGCCUUAAGGGGAUUGGAGUUUGCAAAUGGAAGGAUUUAAACCCCAACGCUGGAUCCUGGUUCUCCAAAUGAACCGGCUGAUAGCGCGAGAGACAUGACAGGUCCUCUUUGGCGCCCCCUGUGUCCUCCACCUCUGUUUGCUGUCCCUUUCUGCUCCCGGUCUCCACCCCUGCAGACCCCACUGAACAGUUUCAUCUCAAGGAACCUCCAGUCCGAAGUGAGUACAGGUGCAAACCCUGGAACGGAACGCAGAUGCAAAUAGUGUAUUUGCAGCGGAUCCCAGGAGACACUGCAGGGGGCGGGAAAGGGGGCCAGGAAAGGGAGCAUUAUAGAGCCACUCCUGCAGAAGCUGUUCCCACUUCUCCUUUCCUGUCUCAACCUCAACAUCCCAAAAUCUUAUGUUCUGUUUGACCGGGACGCGGUAAGGCCAGGCUCCUUGCCUGCGUGGAGCCUGCGCGUCAUUAAGGGGUAGGGCUCGGGCGUGAGCAAAAGCUGCCGAGCGUCUUAAGGCCUGGCCUCAGAAGUCACCUCGUGUCACCUCUGCUGCGUUGUGAGGGUCGAAGCACGUCACCGAGCCCAGCCACAGCCAAGGAGUCGGGAGAUAGGACAUGUUGGUUUAGUUGGAGUGGUGCAGUCACGCUGUGGAAGGCCGUGUGCCCCAGGAUGGGGUGGGGGGGGGGCCUUGAAACUGUAUUUUACCCUUCGCUGAAGUACAGGUCUCCUCCAGUCUCUGGCCAAGGGCUUCCUUGAACCCUCUCCCCCAUGGCCAUGUCUUCCGUGCUCCUCGGCCACUCACGCCCGUGACCCUACCUCCCGAAUCUCGCCGUCAGAGCAACCGCGGCCCCUCAUACCCUGGGUCCCGGCACCCCAGCCUCUGACCCCACUCCCACCUCUCCUGCCAUUCGGGACCAACAGGUCCUUGACCCCAGUGGGGCUGUGGGUAUGUCAAUUUUCUACGGACCGUCAGCCUCCUUAUACUGCCCACCAGCCUGACCCCACGGGCCAUUGCUCCGGUCUCUGUCCCCCACCCCUUUACCUCCACCCUCAGCUCUCAGGCUCUUUUCUGACCUCGGGGUGUCCACCCAGCAAAAUCCGGCCUCGGGCACAGCCAGCCCCAUGCCCGCACCCACGAAGUUGAAUGCGGCUGGAGGGAACCCCGCAGGCGUCCUGCGAGAACUGAGUUGUAACCCCCGUCGGAAGGCGGGGAGGAAUGAAGAGGCGAUAACAACCCUUCAGACCUCAGAUCUGAGCCGUGGACAGUUAGGCAUGCGGACCUCUCCCCUCCUCCUUCUAGUCCGAGAGCCGAACCCGGGCACUGGCUCGUGCUGGCUCUUCCCUCCCACCGCAUUCACCACACGCCCACGAAGUGCCCCCGAUCUCGGUCGCGCACCGGGCAGUUACGGGGCUCAGAGGAGCUAGGCAGGGCCCGGAACCAGCGCGAACUCCAGGGGUGGUCUGGGGGCUGGCCGCACCCGCAUCACGUGGGAGCUUGUUGAGAAGAAAGGUUCUCAGGGCCUCACCCCGGACCUGCAGAAUCAGAAUCCCCGGGGGCGGGCGUCGGACCCAGAGGCUGUGUUUGGGCAAGCCCUCUGGUGCCUCUUAUUUAUGCUGGAGUUUGAGGAUCCUGUCUAGACACUUGCUGAUUAGUGUGUGACACCAAGACCCGGGCGCUCGUCCAAAACGGCAGGCCCUGGGACCUCACCACGGGCCCCCUGAAAGAGAAACUGCGUUUUCACCGGGCCCCCCCAGGGAUCUGUCACGGGGCCCAGGGGCUGGAGGUGGCCGAAGGACGCGUCCCAGGGGCGUAGACGCUCAGGAAACCUUGGGUGACUGGUUGUGGCGCCGGGCUGCCCAGAGAGGUUCCACUUCCCGGGCCCAGGCUGAGGCUCAGCGGGGACGCCCUGGGGCCUGACCUCGCAUCUGGUCCCUUCGCUGUAUUAGCGAGGCUGGGGGAGAGUCGCGCCUACCCGUCGCCGGUGGGGGUAGAAAUCCGGUCCCCCUCCCCGGAGGGCUCUUUGGCCAUGUCUGCCGCGCCCCAGGCUGGACGGACGGAGCAAAGGCCGUGUGCCCUGGAUGCCGCCAGCAGGAAGGCCCUGGUGGGGAAGGUACAAUGUCUCUGGAAGGAAGCAGGAUGAACGGCUAAUAUUCCUGGUCCCUGGGGAGGGAAACAGGUGCGCCUGGGGGAGACACCAAGCCCGAGUUUUCACUGUCUGUUACUUUGUACCGCCUGGCUACAACUGUUAUCUGCC
This is a long non-coding RNA of Leopardus geoffroyi (Geoffroy's cat), 2347 nucleotides long. RefSeq lists it as uncharacterized. The record is from RefSeq and is a predicted model, not a curated record. The transcript has 5 exons. Lineage: Eukaryota; Metazoa; Chordata; Mammalia; Carnivora; Felidae.